This 508-nucleotide ribosomal RNA is filed under the name uncultured Glomus. RNAcentral's name for it is "SSU rRNA". It matches the Rfam family "Eukaryotic small subunit ribosomal RNA", at positions 569 to 1078 of the family's 1831-position model. Lineage: Eukaryota; Fungi; Glomeromycota; Glomeromycetes; Glomerales; Glomeraceae. The record is from RNAcentral.
AGCAGCCGCGGUAAUUCCAGCUCCAAUAGCGUAUAUUAAAGUUGUUGCAGUUAAAAAGCUCGUAGUUGAAUUUCGGGAUCAAUAUGUCGGUCGUGCCUUCGGUACGUACUGGUAUCAUUGGUCUCUCCUUUCUGACGAACCAUGAUGUCAUUAAUUUGGUGUUAUGGGGAGUUAGGACUGUUACUUUGAAAAAAUUAGAGUGUUUAAAGCAGGCUUUAGCUUGAAUACAUUAGCAUGGAAUAAUGAAAUAGGACGUUCGAACCUAUUUUGUUGGUUUCUAGGAUCAACGUAAUGAUUAAUAGGGAUAGUUGGGGGCAUUAGUAUUCAAUUGUCAGAGGUGAAAUUCUUGGAUUUAUUGAAGACUAACUACUGCGAAAGCAUUUGCCAAGGAUGUUUUCAUUAAUCAAGAGCGAAAGUUAGGGGAUCGAAGACGAUCAGAUACCGUCGUAGUCUUAACCAUAAACUAUGCCGACUAGGGAUCGGAUGAUGUUAAUUUUUUAAUGACUCA